This is a long non-coding RNA of Vigna radiata var. radiata (mung bean), 975 nucleotides long. RefSeq lists it as uncharacterized. The record is from RefSeq and is a predicted model, not a curated record. The transcript has 2 exons. Lineage: Eukaryota; Viridiplantae; Streptophyta; Magnoliopsida; Fabales; Fabaceae.
UUGAAACUUUUAUCCUAUGUAUUUUGAAGCACUGAAUUAAUAUUAACUUAUAUGUUUUAUAAUAUAUUGAUAUAUUCUAUGUAGUUGCAAGCUUUUAUAUUUUAUGCAAUUUGCAAGAGUUUGUCUUCAAAUCAUUAUGGGUCUAUUUCAUUAAUUGAAUUUGCAUAAUAUCUGAUUCAUUCCCCUUUAAAGCUGUCAAACCUGAGGAUCGUAAGAUUUGAAGGGGAUAUAAAAUUGUGACUCAAAGGUCAUAACUUGAGUCAUAAGAGUUAUGAGUACAUGAAAAAUCAUAUUUAUAGACUGGUGCAUGCAUUAAAAAUAAUAUAGACAAUAAACUAACUCGUAAGGAUCCUCAAAGUAGUUAGCUUCAAUACAUAACAGAACUAAAAGCGGGUUAACAAUUUAUAAAAUUACUCUCCUGCAAGAACAGAGAAAAGUAUUAAGAGGAAAAUACAGAGUAGAACACAGUGCGAACCAGUGAUGAGGAGGGCAACAUCGGCAUGAUGGUCAUGAGUGUUGUGGUAGCUCACAAUGGUGAGGCUAGUGUUCGUAGCAGCAGCAUUAGUGCUUCAAUGGCUAUUGAUAACGAGACUGAUGGUUGUUUGACAAUAGUAGCAGAACAAAAGGGCCAUGUGAUUUGGGUUUCUUUUUCAGGUCAACCUUUAGUCUUUUAACCUAGAAAUGCGCUGUUUUAACUCUUGAGCCUGCGUGUUCAAACCAAAGCGGAACAAUGUGGUGCACGAUCCUGCAAUUUCAUGAGCAACCAUGCAAUCAGAGUACUGUCUGUGCCUCCUGAAUCUGCAAUGCGCAUGUGUCCCUCAAACUCGCAGGAUGGGAAAAAAGAGAAGCACAACUAUGGGGAGACUAAUAUUCUCCUAAAUAAACAAAAUGAAGAAGAACGAGAGCAAAUGUCUUUGUAUGCUCUAUACUCUUCAAAGCAAUAUUGAUCAGAGUGUAUUCAUUAGAGAAUCUGUA